AGCUUCUUAGCGCAGUAGGUAGCGCGUUGGGCUCAUAACCCAAAGGUCGUCGGAUCGAAACCGACAGAAGCUA
This is a non-coding RNA of Mycosarcoma maydis (corn smut), 73 nucleotides long. Lineage: Eukaryota; Fungi; Basidiomycota; Ustilaginomycetes; Ustilaginales. The record is from the annotation of a RefSeq genome assembly.